ACCAUACUUUCAUUCAAAUAUCUUCAUAUGAAAGUAUGCAAAAUCUUAACUCUGUGAAUUUUUAUUAUUUGAAACAAGAAAAACACUCAGCAACUUCAAGGCAUUAUUCAUUCAUAUAUGUUCCUGAUUCAAUAUAAUUCUUUGUUUUCCCUAAUCCAUAAUGGUAACCCAUUUUCUCGAUAUUCGUGACGCGACUCCAACCCAAAGGAUACAAUUGAAUGAUUAUCUGCACAUUUCAUAAUGCUUUUGUACUUAUUUAAGUGCAACGUAAAUAUAUAUUUUUGAAAAUUAUAUUUAGAUAAAAUUAGAUUCUCUGCUUUCGCCAGUUUUAUGGUAUUUCUUUUUUUAUUUUAUUUGUCAAUAUUUCUUCUUUACAUAAGCUGAUUUUAUUAUAUUUCAGUUUAAUCAUGAAAUCUUUUUGAGAUUGUUUUAAUGACAAUUAUGCAGAUUCUCUUAAAGGUAUUUAUUUAUUGCUCAAAAGAGUUUUUAACGUUAUCCAGAGUUGUUUGUUGCUUGGCCUUUGUUAAAUCACUCAUAUUGAGUUACAACUUUAAGAUUUAGAGUUGACUCGAAAUCGAAAAGAAAGGAAAGACUGUAUUUUUGUGUAUUUGGAUUGGUUUACUUAUAUUUAUAUUUAUUAUUUAACCAAUAUAUAUUACUAAAAGAUUUUUUAAGUAUAUCUAUAUUGUAAAUGUAUAUAGGGAUAUGUAAUAUAAUUAUAUUAUUAUGUGCUUGUAUAUACUUUAUCAAAAUUGUAAAUUUUUUUGAAAGUCUUUAUUACUUUACUAAUUUAUUAUAUAUUCGUGUAUUUGCUGUUGAAGUGAAAUAUAAAUCACGGAAAAGUAUUUUUUAUGUAAAUCAAAGAUUUGUUUUUCAGAAAAUAUUUUCAAAAAGA
Hydra vulgaris (swiftwater hydra) is the source of this 895-nucleotide long non-coding RNA. RefSeq lists it as uncharacterized. The record is from RefSeq and is a predicted model, not a curated record. Lineage: Eukaryota; Metazoa; Cnidaria; Hydrozoa; Anthoathecata; Hydridae.